This 403-nucleotide ribosomal RNA is filed under the name Verrucomicrobiota bacterium. RNAcentral describes it as "Verrucomicrobia bacterium partial 16S ribosomal RNA". It matches the Rfam family "Bacterial small subunit ribosomal RNA", at positions 355 to 776 of the family's 1533-position model. The record is from RNAcentral. Lineage: Bacteria; Pseudomonadati; Verrucomicrobiota.
UGGGGAAUAUUGCACAAUGGAGGGAACUCUGAUGCAGCGACGCCGCGUGAACGAAGAAGGCGUUCGAGUCGUAAAGUUCUUUUAUAUGGGAAGAUAAUGACGGUACCAUAAGAAAAAGCCCCGGUUAACUACGUGCCAGCAGCCGCGGUAAUACGUAGGGGGCUAGCGUUGUCCGGAAUCACUGGGCGUAAAGGGUUCGCAGGCGGAAAUGCAAGUCAGGUGUAAAAGGCAGUAGCUUAACUACUGUAAGCAUUUGAAACUGCAUAUCUUGAGAAGAGUAGAGGUAAGUGGAAUUUUUAGUGUAGCGGUGAAAUGCGUAGAUAUUAAAAAGAAUACCGGUGGCGAAGGCGACUUUCUGGACUUUUACUGACGCUCAGGUACGAAAGCGUGGGGAGCAAACAGG